RNAcentral lists this ribosomal RNA (253 nucleotides) under uncultured bacterium. RNAcentral describes it as "partial 16S ribosomal RNA". It matches the Rfam family "Bacterial small subunit ribosomal RNA", at positions 524 to 776 of the family's 1533-position model. The record is from RNAcentral.
UACGUAGGGGGCAAGCGUUGUCCGGAUUUACUGGGCGUAAAGAGCGCGCAGGCGGUCGUACAAGUCGCGUGUGAAAGCCCCCGGCUCAACUGGGGAGGGUCACGCGAUACUGUUCGACUCGAAGGCAGGAGAGGGUAGUGGAAUUCCCGGUGUAGUGGUGAAAUGCGUAGAUAUCGGGAGGAACACCAGUGGCGAAGGCGACUACCUGGCCUGUUCUUGACGCUGAGGCGCGAAAGCUAGGGUAGCAAACGGG